GCUGUUUGUCUGCCUGCGUGAGAUACUGUCUCCCCAACUGGAGAGAGGGGGGGGUUAGGGGGUAGCUGUUUGUCUGCCUGCGUGAGAUACUGUCUCCCCAACUGGAGAGAGGGGGGGGUUAGGGGGUAGCUGUUUGUCUGCCUGCGUGAGAAACUGUCUCCCAACCGGAGAGAGGGGGUUACGGGGGUAGCUGUUUGUCUGCCUGCGUGAGAUACUGUAUCCCCAACUGGAGAGAGGGGGGUUAGGGGGUAGCUGUUUGUCUGCCUUGGUGAGAUACUGUCUUCCCAACUGGAGAGAGGGGGUUAGGGGGUAGCUGUUUGUCUGCCUGCGUGAGAUACUG
This is a long non-coding RNA of Oncorhynchus tshawytscha (Chinook salmon), 340 nucleotides long. The record is from Ensembl. Lineage: Eukaryota; Metazoa; Chordata; Actinopteri; Salmoniformes; Salmonidae.